RNAcentral lists this ribosomal RNA (711 nucleotides) under uncultured soil bacterium. RNAcentral describes it as "bacterial SSU rRNA". It matches the Rfam family "Bacterial small subunit ribosomal RNA", at positions 84 to 772 of the family's 1533-position model. The record is from RNAcentral.
GGGUGAGUAAACCGGCGAACGGGUGCGUAACACGUGGAUAAUCUACCUUCCUGACUGGGACAACUGGCCGAAAGGCUUGCUAAUACCAGAUAAGCCCACGGCGUCUUUGGACGCUGAGGGAAAAGGUGGCCUCUGCAUGCAAGCUAUCACAGGGAGAUGAGUCCGCGGCCCAUCAGCUAGUUGGCGGGGUAAAAGCCCACCAAGGCAACGACGGGUAGCUGGUCUGAGAGGAUGAUCAGCCACACUGGAACUGAGACACGGUCCAGGCUCCUACGGGAGGCAGCAGUGGGGAAUCUUGCGCAAUGGGCGAAAGCCUGACGCAGUAACGCCGCGUGUGUGAUGAAGGUCUUCGGAUCGUAAAGCACUGUCGCGAGGGAAGAUACGCCCCUGGCCAACAUCCAUGGGCUAAGACGGUACCUCGAGAGGAAGCACCGGCUAACUCUGUGCCAGCAGCCGCGGUAAUACAGAGGGUGCGAGCGUUGUUCGGAAUCAUUGGGCGUAAAGCGCUUGUAGGCGGCCUGUCAAGUCGCGUGUGAAAUCCCCUGGCUUAACCAGGGAAGUGCGCGCGAAACUGGCGGGCUUGAGUGCCGGAGAGGGUCGCGGAAUUCCCGGUGUAGAGGUGAAAUUCGUAGAUAUCGGGAGGAACACCAGUGGCGAAGGCGGCGACCUGGACGGACACUGACGCUGAGACGCGAAAGCGUGGGGAGCAAA